AACUUUCAACAACGGAUCUCUUGGUUCUGGCAUCGAUGAAGAACGCAGCGAAAUGCGAUAAGUAGUGUGAAUUGCAGAAUUCAGUGAAUCAUCGAAUCUUUGAACGCACAUUGCGCCCUUUGGUAUUCCUUAGGGCAUGCCUGUUCGAGCGUCAUUUCAACCCUCAAGCCUAGCUUGGUGUUGGGCGUCUGUCCCGCCUCCGCGC
Molecule: ribosomal RNA, 205 nt
Filed under: Corynespora cassiicola
Lineage: Eukaryota; Fungi; Ascomycota; Dothideomycetes; Pleosporales; Corynesporascaceae
Description: 5.8S ribosomal RNA
Rfam family: 5.8S ribosomal RNA (bases 1-154)
About the family: 5.8S ribosomal RNA (5.8S rRNA) is a component of the large subunit of the eukaryotic ribosome. It is transcribed by RNA polymerase I as part of the 45S precursor that also contains 18S and 28S rRNA. Functionally, it is thought that 5.8S rRNA may be involved in ribosome translocation.
Source: RNAcentral